RNAcentral lists this ribosomal RNA (428 nucleotides) under uncultured prokaryote. Its description in RNAcentral is "bacterial SSU rRNA". It matches the Rfam family "Bacterial small subunit ribosomal RNA", at positions 355 to 774 of the family's 1533-position model. The record is from RNAcentral.
UGAGGAAUAUUGCGCAAUGGGGGAAACCCUGACGCAGCAACGCCGCGUGAGUGAGGAAGGUUUUCGGACCGUAAAGCUCUGUCGAGCGGGAAGAAAUGCAUGGUGGCUAAUAUCCAUCAUGCUUGACGGUACCGCUAAAGGAAGCACCGGCUAACUCCGUGCCAGCAGCCGCGGUAAUACGGGGGGUGCGAGCGUUAUUCGGAAUCAUUGGGCGUAAAGCGCGUGUAGGCGGCUUGACAAGUCAGAUGUGAAAUCCCUGGGCUUAACCCAGGAAGUGCAUUUGAAACUGUCUAGCUUGAGUAAGGGAGAGGAAAGUGGAAUUCCUGGUGUAGAGGUGAAAUCCGUAGAUAUCAGGAGGAACACCGGUGGCGAAGGCGACUUUCUGGCCCUAUACUGACGCUGAGACGCGAAAGCGUGGGGAGCAAACA